This 405-nucleotide ribosomal RNA is filed under the name uncultured bacterium. Its description in RNAcentral is "bacterial SSU rRNA". It matches the Rfam family "Bacterial small subunit ribosomal RNA", at positions 350 to 751 of the family's 1533-position model. The record is from RNAcentral.
AGCAGUAGGGAAUAUUGGGCAAUGGUGGCAACACUGACCCAGCCAUGCCGCGUGCAGGAAGAAGGCCCUACGGGUCGUAAACUGCUUUUCGGGGGGGAGAAUACUUGGCCUGCGGGCUAGGCUGACGGUACCCCCGGAAUAAGCCACGGCUAACUACGUGCCAGCAGCCGCGGUAAUACGUAGGUGGCGAGCGUUGUCCGGAUUUAUUGGGUUUAAAGGGUGCGUAGGCGGGCGGCUAAGUCAGGGGUGAAAGACGGUGGCUCAACCAUCGCAGUGCCUUUGAUACUGGUCGCCUUGAGUGCGGGCGAGGUCUGCGGAAUGGACCGUGUAGCGGUGAAAUGCUCAGAUACGGUCCGGAACACCGAUUGCGAAGGCAGCAGACUGGGGGCGCAACUGACGCUGAGG